GAAAUAGAUCCUGAAACCGUGUGCCUACAAGUAGUCAGAGUCCGUUUAUGGAUGAUGGCGUGCCUUUUGUAGAAUGAACCGGCGAGUUACGUUAACAUGCAAGGUUAAAAUGAAAAGUUGGAGCCGUAGCGAAAGCGAGUCUGAAUAGGGCGACUAAGUAUGUUGAUGUAGACCCGAAACCAAGUGACCUACCCAUGACCAGGUUGAAGAUGCGGUAAAACGCAUUGGAGGACCGAACCCGUGUAUGUUGAAAAAUGCUGGGAUGAGUUGUGGGUAGCGGUGAAAUUCCAAACGAACUUGGAGAUAGCUGGUUCUCUCCGAAAUAGCUUUAGGGUUAGCCUCGGGGAUUAGGAUCGUGGAGGUAGAGCACUGUUUGGACUAGGGGCCCGUCUUGGGUUACUGAAUUCAGAUAAACUCCGAAUACCAUUGAUCUAUACCCGGGAGUCAGACGAUGAGUGAUAAGAUCCACCGUCGAAAGGGAAACAGCCCAGAUCACCAGUUAAGGUCCCAAAAUUCAUGCUAAGUGGAAAAGGAUGUGGAAACGCAUAGACAACUAGGAUGUUGGCUUAGAAGCAGCCAUUCAUUCAAAGAGUGCGUAAUAGCUCACUAGUCGAGUGAUUCUGCGCCGAAAAUGUACCGGGGCUAAGCAUGAUACCGAAACUGUGGAUGCAUCGUAAGAUGUGUGGUAGGAGAGCGUUGUAAGAGCAUUGAAGCUGUACCGUGAGGAGCAGUGGAGUUCUUAGAAGUGAGAAUGCCGGUAUGAGUAACGAAAGACCAGUGAGAAUCUGGUCGGCCGCAAGACUAAGGUUUCCUGGGGAAGGCUCGUCCUCCCAGGGUUAGUCGGGGCCUAAGAUGAGACCGAGAGGUGUAAUCGAUGGAUAACAGGUUGAUAUUCCUGUACUAGUUUAUUUUGUUUGAACGAUGGAAGGACGCAGGAGGAUGAUGUGUGCGCGCUGAUGGAUAUGCGCGUCCAAGCAGUAAGUCUUGAUAUGAGUCAAAUGCUUAUAUCUCUAAGGACAAGCUGUGAUGGGGAGUGAAAUUUUAGUAACGAAGCACAACAACUCACACUGCCAAGAAAAGUUCCUAGUUAGAAAUAAACUACCCGUACCGCAAACCGACACAGGUAGUCGAGGAGAGUAUCCUAAGGUCAGCGAGUGAACUCUCGUUAAGGAACUCGGCAAAAUGACCCCGUAACUUCGGGAGAAGGGGUGCUGGUGUAACAGCCAGCCGCAGUGAAUAGGCCCAAACAACUGUUUAUCAAAAACACAGGUCUAUGCUAAAUCGUAAGAUGACGUAUAUGGGCUGACGCCUGCCCGGUGCUGGAAGGUUAAGAGGAUCAGUUAGCUUUUGCGAAGCUGAGAAUUGAAGCCCCAGUAAACGGCGGCCGUAACUAUAACGGUCCUAAGGUAGCGAAAUUCCUUGUCGGGUAAGUUCCGACCCGCACGAAAGGCGUAAUGAUUUGGGCACUGUCUCAACGAGAGACUCGGUGAAAUUAUAAUACCCGUGAAGAUGCGGGUUACCCGCGACAGGACGGAAAGACCCCAUGGAGCUUUACUGUAGCUUGAUAUUGAGUUUUUGUGUGACAUGUACAGGAUAGGUAGGAGCCGUUGAUUUCGGAACGCUAGUUUCGAAGGAGGCGUUGGUGGGAUACUACCCUUGUUAUAUGAAAGCUCUAACCUACAUCGCUCAGCGCGAUGAGGGACAGUGUCUGGUGGGCAGUUUGACUGGGGCGGUCGCCUCCUAAAAUGUAACGGAGGCGCUCAAAGGUUCGCUCAGAAUGGUUGGAAAUCAUUCGCAGAGUGUAAACGUAAAAGCGAGCUUGACUGCGAGACUGACAAGUCGAGCAGGGACGAAAGUCGGAGUUAGUGAUCCGGUGGUACCAUAUGGAAGGGCCAUCGCUCAACGGAUAAAAGCUACCCUGGGGAUAACAGGCUUAUCUCCCCCAAGAGUUCACAUCGACGGGGAGGUUUGGCACCUCGAUGUCGGCUCAUCGCAUCCUGGGGCUGUAGUCGGUCCCAAGGGUUGGGCUGUUCGCCCAUUAAAGCGGUACGCGAGCUGGGUUCAGAACGUCGUGAGACAGUUCGGUCCCUAUCCGUCGCGGGCGUAGGAAAUUUGAGAGGAGCUGUCCUUAGUACGAGAGGACCGGGAUGGACAUACCUCUGGUGUACCAGUUGUGCCGCCAGGCGCAUCGCUGGGUAGCUACGUAUGGAAGGGAUAAACGCUGAAAGCAUCUAAGUGUGAAGCCCCCCUCGAGAUGAGAUUUCCCAUUCCUUUAU
This 2276-nucleotide ribosomal RNA is filed under the name Companilactobacillus farciminis KCTC 3681 = DSM 20184. RNAcentral describes it as "bacterial LSU rRNA". It matches the Rfam family "Bacterial large subunit ribosomal RNA", at positions 540 to 2824 of the family's 2925-position model. The record is from RNAcentral. Lineage: Bacteria; Bacillati; Bacillota; Bacilli; Lactobacillales; Lactobacillaceae.